This is a long non-coding RNA of Mesocricetus auratus (golden hamster), 517 nucleotides long. RefSeq lists it as uncharacterized. The transcript has 3 exons. The record is from RefSeq and is a predicted model, not a curated record. Lineage: Eukaryota; Metazoa; Chordata; Mammalia; Rodentia; Cricetidae.
GUGCACUGCACCAGCAUGUCCUCCCUGCCUCUGCUCUUCUGACUUCAGCUCCCAGAAAUCCCAUGAGGGUCAGCCCUGACAUCCUGGGGCCGCAUGACUUGUUCUCCUGAGGAACGGAGGCCUCUCCUAGGUUGGGAUGUUUUCUGUGUCAACUACCAUUCCCUGACUAAUCGUACAAUUUCUUUCUGAGAAACCACGGAGGAGAAAACAGCAAGAACAAAGACCACAUUGCAUCCCAGAUUAUCAAGCCUCUAUGGCAGUGAUGCUGCUGCUGCUGCUGAUCAGAAUGGCUUCCUAGUUUCAAAUACUACCUAGUGUGAUCUUCACAGCAGCUGGAUGCUUCGGCUUUGUGCAGACAGAUUGCAGCACGCUUGCCAGUAUGUGUCCUUUUGAAUCUGCUUUAUUGAUGUAGAACAAAGUUUCAUUUGCUCACCGAUUUUAAUUUGAGAAAGAAAAGCUAAUGGAUGCUGGAUUGCCUUCUUCAGAGAAGGUAAUAAGCCUCAUAUGUUUUAUAAAA